UCCUGGCUCAGAACGAACGCUGGCGGCGUGCCUAACACAUGCAAGUCGAACGGAGUGAAGGAGCUUGCUCUUUCAUUUAGUGGCGCACGGGUGAGUAACGCGUAGAUAAUCUGCCUUGGACUCUGGGAUAACAUCUCGAAAGGGGUGCUAAUACCGGAUAAGCCCACGAUGGCGUAAGUCAUUGCGGGAAAAGGGGGCCUCUGAAUAUGCUCCUGAUUCAAGAUGAGUCUGCGUACCAUUAGCUAGUUGGUAGGGUAAGAGCCUACCAAGGCGACGAUGGUUAGCUGGUCUGAGAGGAUGAUCAGCCACACUGGAACUGAGACACGGUCCAGACUCCUACGGGAGGCAGCAGUGGGGAAUUUUGCGCAAUGGGGGAAACCCUGACGCAGCAACGCCGCGUGAGUGAUGAAGGCUUUCGGGUCGUAAAGCUCUGUCUAGAGGGAAGAAAUGAUAGUCGGUUAAUACCCGGUUUUCUUGACGGUACCUCUGAAGGAAGCACCGGCUAACUCCGUGCCAGCAGCCGCGGUAAUACGGAGGGUGCAAGCGUUGUUCGGAUUUAUUGGGCGUAAAGCGCGUGUAGGCGGUUUGUUAAGUCUGAUGUGAAAGCCCUGGGCUCAACCUGGGAAGUGCAUUGGAAACUGGCAGACUUGAAUACGGGAGAGGGUAGUGGAAUUCCUAGUGUAGGAGUGGAAUCCGUAGAUAUUAGGAGGAACACCGGUGGCGAAAGGCGGCUACCUGGACCGAUAUUGACGCUGAGACGCGAAAGCGUGGGG
Molecule: ribosomal RNA, 773 nt
Filed under: uncultured bacterium
Lineage: Bacteria
Description: bacterial SSU rRNA
Rfam family: Bacterial small subunit ribosomal RNA
Source: RNAcentral